AACGAACGCUGGCGGCAGGCUUAACACAUGCAAGUCGAACGUCCUGGCAACAGGGCGUGGCAGACGGGUGCGUAACGCGUGGGAACAUACCUUUCGGUUCGGAAUAACCCAGGGAAACUUGGGACAAUACCGGAUACGUGCGAAAGCAGAAAGAUUUAUCGCCGAAAGAUUGGCCCGCGUCCGAUUAGCUAGUUGGUGAGGUAAUGGCUCACCAAGGCGACGAUCGGUAGCUGGUCUGAGAGGAUGAUCAGCCACACUGGGACUGAGACACGGCCCAGACUCCUACGGGAGGCAGCAGUGGGGAAUAUUGGACAAUGGGCGAAGGCCUGAUCCAGCCAUGCCGCGUGAGUGAUGAAGGCCCUAGGGUUGUAAAGCUCUUUCGCCAGGGACGAUAAUGACGGUACCUGGAGAAGAAGCCCCGGCUAACUUCGUGCCAGCAGCCGCGG
Molecule: ribosomal RNA, 446 nt
Filed under: uncultured bacterium
Lineage: Bacteria
Description: bacterial SSU rRNA
Rfam family: Bacterial small subunit ribosomal RNA
Source: RNAcentral